This 87-nucleotide ribosomal RNA is filed under the name Escherichia coli. The record is from RNAcentral. Lineage: Bacteria; Pseudomonadati; Pseudomonadota; Gammaproteobacteria; Enterobacterales; Enterobacteriaceae.
UGACCCCAUGCCGAACUCAGAAGUGAAACGCCGUAGCGCCGAUGGUAGUGUGGGGUCUCCCCAUGCGAGAGUAGGGAACUGCCAGGU